CAACAGCAGCCUUCUUCUCUCUCUCUUUUUUUUAAUCUGUGAAGUAGAUUUAGGCCUUUCUGUAAUUACAGCUUUAGUGAACCAAAGCUGCCAUGCCCUGAAUUUCCACUAGAUGGCAGUGAAAUCUUAGUGUUCAACCCUCGGUAACCGAAAGUCAGACUCCCACAGCUAAGGCUGCUUUCUGGUGGAGGCCAGGUAGAUGGUACAACAGGCUGGAGGCAAGUGUGCCUCCGAGCUGUCUCUUCCCCACCCCUACACUUUUAAAACCGCUUUCCGUUUCCCUUGCCCUUAUCUUGAUGAAGCUCUCCAAGGUUUCCAGCCCAUUUGCCUGCAGCCUGGCGUCAUUACAGACGGAAGCCUUGUGUGAACACUUAGCUGAUGUCUGGUUCCAGCUGAUGUCUGGAACCUUCUCCUGUUGCUGCUCUCUUGGUGUCUGCUUGAGACAGGUUCUGUUCUGCCCGUGGGCCUUACCUCCUCAUCUGUGUGAGAGUCCUGACACCACCCUUAAUACAGAGUGGGUGUGUGAAGUGAGCGUACAUGCACAGUGCACGAGGCCG
Cricetulus griseus (Chinese hamster) is the source of this 557-nucleotide non-coding RNA. The record is from RefSeq and is a predicted model, not a curated record. NCBI's taxonomy places the organism in Eukaryota, Metazoa, Chordata, Mammalia, Rodentia, Cricetidae.